RNAcentral lists this long non-coding RNA (1304 nucleotides) under Sinocyclocheilus grahami. RNAcentral's name for it is "lncRNA (ENSSGRG00000016835.1)". Lineage: Eukaryota; Metazoa; Chordata; Actinopteri; Cypriniformes; Cyprinidae. The record is from RNAcentral.
CAGAGGUACUUGCGGUUUCCGGUUAAUUAAAAACACACAUUAGUGCGCCUACGCAGUAGAUCAAGUUCUGACUGAGUGAUUGAUGGAGAGGAAUGUUUAUUGUGAGACCUCUGUUAGCAAAAUUAAGAAUUCAGUCCUCCACUCUGAUCAGUCUGAGCCCUGCUGUUCAAACCCAGCUUGCCAUUUUGAUUGUUCACUAUACUUGCUUCGAAACAUGUGCCAAUUUACAGCUGCUGAGAGCUUUCUUAACUCAUUCUUUUCCCUUUUUUCUGAACUUCUGAAGCCACAGACGUCAUCACCAUCUCCAAAAAUAUUGGGACGGGAAACAAGAUAUGCAAGCUCUCAUUUUCAACCCUCUGUAACUACUGAAAAGUCACUGACAAAGCCUGGAUUUAUUAGACCAGUCACUGCAACAUCCAGAUUUAAAGAUGAUGAAGAAUUCCACCCUAAUCCUUUCAUCUAAUCGUUACCAAUACAAGUUUGUCAGCAGUGCGCUCUGUGGUGAAACCCAAGCAGAAGGUAGAGCUGCUUCAGACCGGCAGCCAGCUUGUGGAGAGGGGCUUCCUUCAGAGCGACAAGAAGACUGUAAGACAAGGCUGGCAUCUCUGAUCACGCAGACCAGGAUCUCCACAGAAGAUGUUCCCACCUCCAUGAACCCGCAGGAGACACACAUAUGAUGCUUACAAGAGAGCCUGAUCCGAUUGUAACUGUGACUGCACAUUAAAAAGCCUAUUAAAGGCAGCAUGUCAAGCAUCUUAAAAGCUAUUCAUUCCUCAAUUCAAGGUGCACAAAUAAAUUGUAUUCUAAACGAAUGAAUUGUAAAAUGAUGCAUGCUUGCAAACUCAAAGUCAGGUUUCACCUCAAAAUAAAAAAUAUGAAAUAAUAAUAGAUCCAUACAGAAUGUUUUUAAUUUUUUCUUGCUGAUUUUGCUGUGAAAUGUGACCAUUUGAUAACGGUUUUCAUAUCAAUCACCCAAUAAGUGCCAAAGAAUAGACAUGUAAUUACUUAGUGCACUUUUAUAUUCAAUCAUCCAGUCAAAUAUUAAUUGCUCUGAAAUUGGCCUUAUGGUCUGCAGCACAUUUACACAGUCGCAGUGCCUUUGGUAUGAUAUGGCCUUUUCAGUUCCUUCAAUAAUAAAUAUAUGCCAUGUUCUCUGUACUGAUUGAACUCAGAAAUGCAAAUUCAUAAUAUAACAGUGUCUAUAAUAAUAUUCAUGUCUAGAUUUUGUGAGUUGUGACAUCCAUCUCUUAUAGCUUCUUUCUCCAAGCACUCAACUCUAAAAUACCCUUCCUUGCAAAAACCCC